ACAAAAAAAGAGGUGAGUUAAAUCACUUAAAUUGUAUCAGAAAGUUAAAUGAUUUUAUUUUAAAUUACUUAUCUACAAGUGAGACAAAUAUACAUUAUCUAGCAUCAGUUAUAAUAAGUAAUGUUAUUAUUAAUUAUUUUGCAUCAAUUCAAUAAAAGUGAUAUACUUUUUAUUCAUUUGUAUCAAUUUAACAUAAAUGAUAUUACUAUAUGUAUUUAUAUCAGUUAUAUAAUUGAUGCAUUUACUAUUUUGUUUAACAUCACUUGUUUAUUUGAUACAAAUACUCCCUCUGUUCUAAUUUAAAUGACGCUUUCCAACUUUUCACACAUAUUUAGGCAGCUAACCAAAUACCUAUUCUAACCUUUUUAUAUAUGAACUAACUCUAAAUCAUUAUUACGACAACUCACAAGUAUAAGGGUAAAACAAGUCACUUUUUGUUAGCUUUUGCUUUGGUUUUUGGAAACGACAAGUAAAUGGAGACAAAACAAAAAUUGUAAAACGUCAGUUAAAACAGAACGGAGGGAGUAUCUUACAUCACUAUAAAAAUGACACUAAUAAAACUUAUGUAAUUACAUAUUAUUUUAACAUCAAUUUAAUAAAAAUGAUGUUAUUUUAUCUGGAUUUUUAACAUUUAAAACAUUUGUUACAAUAUAUUUUUUUAAUAGCUUAAUAUUUUAAAAAGAUUACGAUGUAGUUAAGAUUUUGUCGCUUUUAUAUUUUUUUGUGUCUCUAAUUAGAUCGUGUUUUCUUAACAGUUUUUUUCUUAUCUAGAAGCAUAUUCUUUUUUCAUGAUCUAGAUCCCCACUUCGUCUCUCUAGUGCUUAGACAUCUUUUACAGUUAUAUUGUUAUUAGAAACAAAUUAUUCUACAAAAAAUCAAACUUUGUUUCUUAAUGAGUAAAGAUGACGUUUCAUUAGAAAGCCAUUGGCGGCUGGAGAAUUUUCCCUUAUAUGAUGAUGAUUUGAAAGAAAACUAAGGUUUGCUAAUCCAACUACCUUGAUGGAAAAAUCUGAAAAGAUUAUGCUAGAAAUAUAUCUCGAGAGAAAUGGUUCAGAUGGUUUGAUUAUGUAAUCUGAAAUUCAUUUCAGCAGAAGCAUGAGGUGUUGGAGGAGGAAACUAUUCUGGUGAGGUGUAAAUGGUAUUCUCCGAGGGAAAUGGCUGAUUCAUAAAUCUCUAGAAGAAUAGGAGAAGAUGGAAGUCUACAAGAAGAAGAAAAGAAGAAUACGAAUCUCGGUUGAAGAACUCUCAUCGCAAUUUUUUUAUAGUUGUUCAGUCUUUUUUUUUUCUUUUAAUUCAUUUUUUUCAUAGGACUUUUAUGUAUAUUUAAUGUUUCCCUUCUUUGUAUUCGCUUUUAAAAAAAAUAUGAAUAUAAAUAUUUAAAUUUAUUUA
This is a long non-coding RNA of Brassica rapa (field mustard), 1389 nucleotides long. RefSeq lists it as uncharacterized. The record is from RefSeq and is a predicted model, not a curated record. Lineage: Eukaryota; Viridiplantae; Streptophyta; Magnoliopsida; Brassicales; Brassicaceae.